RNAcentral lists this ribosomal RNA (59 nucleotides) under Fusarium asiaticum. RNAcentral's name for it is "partial 28S ribosomal RNA". The record is from RNAcentral. Lineage: Eukaryota; Fungi; Ascomycota; Sordariomycetes; Hypocreales; Nectriaceae.
UUGACCUCGGAUCAGGUAGGAAUACCCGCUGAACUUAAGCAUAUCAAGGAGCGGAGGAA